GGUAUUAAAAGAGAAUAGUCUCCACCUAAUGAUUAAAGUGCAUUAGGACACUAAGAAGAGUUUGAUUUUAAAAUCAGAGAUUGGGAUAAGGGCUUGAAAUUAUCACGAGGGGAAGGUGUUAGGCACCCCUCAAGAUCCACUAGUGUGGUUCCCGGCCAUACUAUUAUUGUGACUUUAAGUGCAAAUAAUAAGAAGACAAGUAAUAAUUUCAAAUGUGAGAGGG
Molecule: long non-coding RNA, 223 nt
Filed under: Nicotiana benthamiana
Lineage: Eukaryota; Viridiplantae; Streptophyta; Magnoliopsida; Solanales; Solanaceae
Description: long non-coding RNA (NBEN_LNC019430)
Source: RNAcentral